AUUAUUCUAAACUAAACCUUAAACCCAACCUAAACCAAACGCUAAACCUUUCCUACUACCUAAACAUUAAAUCCUACCUAACCCUAGACCCUACCUAAGCCUAGACCUUAACCCUAUCUAACCCUAAACCCUACAUAAACCUAACCCUAAUCCCUAAACCCUUCAAACUACCUAAACCCUAAACGUAAACCCUACCUAACCCUAAACCCUAUUUAACACUAAACCCUACCUAACCCUAAAACCCUACUUAAAACCUAACCCUAAACCCUACCUACCCUAAACUCUACCUAACCCUAAACCCUACUAACCCUAAACCCUACCUAACCCUAACCCUACAUAACCUUAAACCCUACUAACCCUACCUAACCUAAACCCUACCUAACCUAAAACCUUUCUAGCCCUAAACCCUAACUAACCCUCAACCCUACUAACCCUAAACCCUACUAACUUUAAACCCUACUAACCCUAAACCCUUUCUAACCCUAAGCCCUACCUAACCCUAAAUCCUACCUAACCUUAAACCCUACCUAAUUCUAAACCCUACCUAACCCUAAACCCUACCUAACCCUAAACCCAACCUACCCUAAACCCUUUCUAACCUUAAACCCUACCUAACACUAAACCCCUUUUAACCCUAAACCUGACCAACCCUAAACCUGCCAAACCCUAAACCCUAAACCUAAACCCUACCUAACCCUAAAACAUUUCUAACCCUAAACCCUUUCUAGCCAUAAACCCUACCUAACCCUAAACCCUACUAACCCUAAACCCUACUAACACUAAACCUUACAUAACCCCACACCCUACCUAAUCCUAAACCCUACCUACCAUAAACCCUAUGUAACCCUAAACCCUACCUAACCCUAAACCCUACCUAGCCCUAAACCCUACCAAUCCUACCUAACCGUAAAUCCUACCUAAUCCUAAACCCUAUCUACCCUAAACCCUUUUUAACCCUAAACUCUAGAUAACCCUAAACCCUCUCUAACCCUAAACCCUACCUUAUCCUAAACCCUGCCUAACCCUAAAAACCCUACCUAACCCUAAACCUUUCUAACCCUAAACCCUAAACU
Molecule: long non-coding RNA, 1073 nt
Filed under: Brassica napus (rape)
Lineage: Eukaryota; Viridiplantae; Streptophyta; Magnoliopsida; Brassicales; Brassicaceae
Description: long non-coding RNA (BNAP_LNC003329)
Source: RNAcentral